GACUUAAAAUCCGUCGAUUUUAAAAAUCGUGAGG
This 34-nucleotide transfer RNA is filed under the name Asteraceae sp. TS-2017A. Its description in RNAcentral is "partial tRNA-Leu". The record is from RNAcentral. Lineage: Eukaryota; Viridiplantae; Streptophyta; Magnoliopsida; Asterales; Asteraceae.